UACGAAAGGGGCUAGCGUUGUUCGGAAUUACUGGGCGUAAAGCGCGCGUAGGCGGCUUUGCAAGUUGGGGGUGAAAUCCCGGAGCUCAACUCCGGAACUGCCUUCAAAACUGGUAGGCUCGAGUCCGGAAGAGGGGCGUGGAAUUCCCAGUGUAGAGGUGAAAUUCGUAGAUAUUGGGAAGAACACCGGUGGCGAAGGCGGCGCCCUGGUCCGGUACUGACGCUGAGGCGCGAAAGCGUGGGGAGAAAACAGG
Molecule: ribosomal RNA, 253 nt
Filed under: uncultured bacterium
Lineage: Bacteria
Description: partial 16S ribosomal RNA
Rfam family: Bacterial small subunit ribosomal RNA
Source: RNAcentral